Molecule: long non-coding RNA, 2631 nt
Filed under: Canis lupus familiaris (dog)
Lineage: Eukaryota; Metazoa; Chordata; Mammalia; Carnivora; Canidae
Description: lncRNA (ENSCAFG00000059357.1)
Rfam family: Maternally expressed 3 conserved region 2 (bases 863-967)
Source: RNAcentral
AAAGCACCAGCGAACGCAGGGUGUUGGUCAUGGCGGCGAGGGGCACUGCGGCAGAUUUUUUUCCUCCCUUCUUUGCUGCAAUCUGGGUGCGGCUAGAGCAAUUUGUCAUAGAAUCUGGGGGGCUCAUUUUUCCGGCCAAUCACUUUUGGAGAAAUGAGCGCAUUGCAGCAGAAUGCGCUGACGUCAGAGACCACCCCUUCUGCGCCUCCAUAUAAACCCCACCCAGCCAGCCCCUAGCGCAGACGGCGGAGAGCGGAGAUGGAGCGCGCCUUGGCCGCGCUGGCCUCGGCCGCAGCUCCUCGGGAGAACCGGGGCGCCCACGCGAGAAUCUCCCCACCUGCAAUAUGUUUUGUAUCACGUGUCCCAGAGACCGCACAAAUGAGUGAAAAACGGUGUAUCGAGAACUGGGCCUUUACAAUUCUAAUUAAUUUACGCUUAAUUGGAUUUACCGAAAGGGUGUCUUCAGGGAUGACAUCAUCCGUUCACCUCCUUGUCUUCAAGGACCACCUCUCGAUGCCACGCUGCUGCCAAGAGGACAGUAGGAGCUCUGACCCCUGGAUGGCACCGGCAUACCAAGCAGCCACUGGCAGAGACCCCCCCCCCCCCAGGGAUGAGGAUGACGAAGGAUGAAGAGGACCAGAACCGACCAGCCAGCUCUCCCUCUUGGCUGAAUGCUUAAACCGAUGCCCUAGUGAGGGGGCAUUGGUCAUUAACCCUUGACCUUUGCUAUGCUUAUGCCUUGAUGCUAUGAAUACUUUCCUAUAAGUCUCUGCUUGUGUUUAUGUGCCAGCAACCUGGAGUGUUUCCCUCCCCAACCAGUUGUCAGUCGUUCUCCCAUGACAACCCUGUGGUUGCCUGUAUGAUGGCCUGAACGGAAGGAUCCCUUUGGGAACUUCUCAGGAGGGGGACCUGGGCCAAGGGCUUGACCAGCAUCUCACUGGCAAUUCCAAGGCUCAGGGUGGGCUUCUGGAAUGAGCAUGAGCCCCGAUGCCAUGCUACCGAACUGCCAAGGGCAUCCCUACCUCUUCUGAGAUCUCCCUGUCCUUUCUGGGGAAUGGGGACAAGAAGAGCAGCCUCCCAGGGUUGUUGUGAGUAUUGAAUGAGAUAAAACUGCCUCAGGCAGGGCUGGGCAUAGAGGAGGUGGUCAGCAAAUGUCUGUUGAAAGAGUUGCGUAGGUCAGUCCCUUCCCACCCCUGUCACCCUCGUCUCAUGCUUCUCGUUUAUUCUCCCACAGCGCUCCAGGCAGCCCUUGUCCGCGGGGCUCUCCUUCAAGCAGGUAGGGGUCACCAAGAUGGGCGUUGGGCUGACCUGAGUAGGAACAUGAAUCGUGCAUGUGGUCAUUUCCAGAGCACUUUCUGUGUUCUACAGGCGUCUUAUUUCCAUGUCGUACGUACACACGAACAAAGCAGCCUCAUUUACAGAUGAGAAUGGGUUCAACAUUGAUUUGAGGGAUUUUAAAAGGCUCGGGGGUAGGGGGAGGAGGAUGUUAGGAGAAGCAAGUGCCCUUCCCGUGGCACGGGACACGUUCACAUUCACAGCAGGGGCGCUGAGGUUGGAGGAGUGUAAGUGUUUGGUCGCAUUGUUGGCAAGAGAAGGGGUCAGAGUUGGACCCUAGUGCCCUUGUGGCUGCACCGUACCCUCCUGGCCCAGAGUUCUACUAAGAGCCCUUUGAUUUCCAAUCAGACAUUUGACAGUGGGAUAGUCUGUUUGAAAUCCCAGCUGUCUAGCCUGGUCUCAGGGGGGUGUGGGUGGCCCUGGCGCUGGUGCCUUGUGCUGGUUCCACCUUUCAACUACGGUGUGACCUUAACCAAGUCACUUAACUUCUCCAAACCCCAGUCCUUUUCAUGGGCUAAAUGGGGAUUUAAAAAAAAAAAAAAAAAGCAAGCACUCCCGUUUACCCCACAGGGAGCUUUUGAAGACCAAAUGAUGUAACCACUAUGAAAGUGCUUUGUAAAUCUGUGGAAAUUGCUAGAUACUUAACUCCCGGGGAUCGCGCCUCGCAGUGCACAUGCCCAAGCCUAUUCUCCCUCAGUAAUAACGGCACCCAGUAGGUGCUGUGUGUGUUUGCGCUCAAUAAAUAAAUUCCAGAGUAAAUAAAAGCAGAAUUAAUUCAACAAACAUUUUCUGGAACGCCGACAAUAUGCCCAGCACACCAGGCCUGGUAUGUGAUCCAAAGAUGAUGAAAACAGUCUCCUGGAAGCUAAUUGGGGUCCUCAUUCGACCCGCACUUUCUUUCGUCCCCUUUUAAGCCAACCAGUUUUGUCCGGACAAGACAAAAACAACUCUGGCGCUUUAGAGAAGCCCAGCUCGGUGGAGACAAUAGCUCCUGGGCAUCUGAAAGGGGCUGAUUGGAUUAUGUGGCAAAUAGAAGGUGGAAGGGUGACUUGGAAGGUGACAAAUGAAGUGGGCGGAGAGCUGCUUUGAGUUAAUCCAGGCUAUUAGGAGGGAACCUUUUGUCUUCCAGGGGCUGGCAGGAGCUUUUACCACUGGUUUUUACAUCCUUAAUGUAAGGACGCAUAAUUUAUGGUCAGUGAAAAUCCAGGCCCCGGUGAGAUUUGAGUGGGCUGUAAAAUUGAGCGUCCUGCUACCAGUGAGUAAUUAUAGUGAACAUUUAUGUCUCCCUUUGCAGUC